This 672-nucleotide ribosomal RNA is filed under the name Enterococcus faecalis. RNAcentral's name for it is "bacterial SSU rRNA". It matches the Rfam family "Bacterial small subunit ribosomal RNA", at positions 749 to 1419 of the family's 1533-position model. The record is from RNAcentral. Lineage: Bacteria; Bacillati; Bacillota; Bacilli; Lactobacillales; Enterococcaceae.
AGGCUCGAAAGCGUGGGGAGCAAACAGGGAUUAGAUACCUGGUAGUCCACGCCGUAAACGAUGAGUGCUAAGUGUUGGAGGGUUUCCGCCCUUUCAGUGCUGCAGCAAACGCAUUAAGCACUCCGCCUGGGGGAGUACGACCGCAAGGUUGAAACUCAAAGGAAUUGACGGGGGCCCGCACAAGCGGUGGAGCAUGUGGUUUAAUUCGAAGCAACGCGAAGAACCUUACCAGGUCUUGACAUCCUUUGACCACUCUAGAGAUAGAGCUUUCCCUUCGGGGACAAAGUGACAGGUGGUGCAUGGUUGUCGUCAGCUCGUGUCGUGAGAUGUUGGGUUAAGUCCCGCAACGAGCGCAACCCUUAUUGUUAGUUGCCAUCAUUUAGUUGGGCACUCUAGCGAGACUGCCGGUGACAAACCGGAGGAAGGUGGGGAUGACGUCAAAUCAUCAUGCCCCUUAUGACCUGGGCUACACACGUGCUACAAUGGGAAGUACAACGAGUCGCUAGACCGCGAGGUCAUGCAAAUCUCUUAAAGCUUCUCUCAGUUCGGAUUGCAGGCUGCAACUCGCCUGCAUGAAGCCGGAAUCGCUAGUAAUCGCGGAUCAGCACGCCGCGGUGAAUACGUUCCCGGGCCUUGUACACACCGCCCGUCACACCACGAGAGUUUGUAACA